CAGGGUGUAAAUGUCUACAUGUAGGCCAGGGUGUAAAUGUCUACAUGUAGGCCAGGGUGUAAAUGUCUACAUGUAGGCCAGGGUGUAAAUGUCUACAUGUAGGCCAGGGUGUAAAUGUCUACAUGUAGGCCAGGGUGUAAAUGUCUACAUGUAGGUCAGGGUGUAAAUGUCUACAUGUAGGCCAGGGUGUAAAUGUCUACAUGUAGGCCAAACAAGUAAUUAAUCAUUCUCUGAUCCAUGUGAUUAAAGAGAAUGGAAUGUUACCAGCCUGUGUCCAAAAUGGCACCCUAUUCCCUAUGUGGUACACUACGUUUGACUAGAGCAGUAGUGCACUACAUACUGUAGUGAAAAAGGUGUCAUUUGGGACAUAGGUCAUAUCCUUAACUGAAACCCUUUACAGUCUGUACAGUAAUUGAACAAAGAAAACCAUUCACAAUGCAUAAAACACAGGUCAAAACUGGUUAGAACUGUCUAGAACUGUCCAGAAAUUACUUAAGAACUGAAACUUGUGAGCAGGUAAGAAUCAAGGUAGAAGCUAAAAUAUAUAAAAUAAAUAAACAUUGGAGUCAAGCCGAUGUCACGGUUGUCGAAAGGAGAAGACCAAAGUGCAGCGUGUGUGUCAUUCCACAUUGUAUUUACUCUGUGAAACUAUGCAAUACACAAAUAAACUGAAAUGACAAAACAAACCGUGACGCAAGAGGUGAAACAUAACACUGACUCAAACGAGGACCAGCUGCCUCUAAUUGGAGAUCAUCCCAAACAAACCAACAUAGAAAUACAAAAACUAGAACCUAACAUAGACAUAGAAAACAUAGAAUAAACCCCCCCUGUCACGCCCUGACCUACUCUACCAUAGAAAAUAACAGCUUACCAUGGUCAGGACGUGACAGUACCCCCCCCCAAAGGUGCAGACUCCGAAUGCAACUAAACCCCCCCAAAAUAAAACAAAAGGGAGGGUAACCAGUGUCUAUGCCAGCUCUGGUGCAGUAUCCAGAACCUUAUCAUCCAGCGAAUCCUUUAGUAGAGAAGGCGGCUCUGGUUCGGGGCAUAACCCCCGCUCCGCCCGCUGAUCCCUCUGCUUCUGUGCCACCGGACCGUGGAUCAUCGCCGGAGGCUCCGGGCUGCAGGCCGUCUCAGGAGGCUCCGGGCUGCAGGCCGUCUCAGGAGGCUCCGGGCUGCAGGCCGUCUCAGGAGGCUCCGGGCUGCAGGCCGUCUCAGGAGGUUCCGGGCUGCAGGCCGUCUCAGGAGGUUCCGGGCUGCAGGCCGUCUCAGGAGGCUCCGGACUGGGAACUGUCGCCGGAAGCUCCGGACUGGGAACUGUCGCCGGAAGCUCCGGACUGGGAACUGUCGCCGGAAGCUCCGGACUGGGAACUGUCGCAGGAAGCUCCGGACUAGGAACUGUCGCCGGAAGCUCCGGACUAGGAACUGUCGCUGGAAGCUCCGGACUGGGAAUGCGCACUGGAGGCCUGAUGCGUGGGGCUGGCAUAGGUGGCGCCAGACUAGUAACACGCACCUCAGGGCAAGUGCGGGGAGCAGGAACAGGGAGUACCAGGCUGGAUAGACUCACUGGAGGCCGGGUAUGUGGGGCAGGCACAGGAUAUACUGGACCGUGGAGACACACUGGAGGUCUUGAGCGUAGAGCUGGCACCACCCGUCCUGGCUGGAUGCUUACUUUCGCCCGGAAAACGCUGGGCGCGGGCACAGGACGAACUGGGCUGUGAAUACGCACUUGCGACACAGUGCGCAGCGCCGGCGCAGGAUAUCCUGGACCGAGAAGGCAAACUGGAGACCAGGAUCUCUGAGCUGGCACCACCCUUCCUGGCUGAAUGCUCAACCUAGCUUGGCAAAUGCGGGGCGCGGGCACAGAUCGCACCGGGCUGUGAAUGCGCAUUGGCAACACAGUGCGCAUCACCGCAUAACACGGUACUUGCUUCUUUACUCGCUCCCCAGGGUAAGCACGGGGAGUUGGCUCAGGUCUCCACCCUGACUCUGUGAAACUCCCCGUGUGCCCCCCCCCCCCAAUUUAUUUGGGAGGGGUGCCUCUCGUGCUUCCGUCGUUGCCUUGCUAGUUCCUCGUAAUGUUGCCGUUCCUCCCUCGCUGUCUCCACCUACUUCCAUGGCAGGGUCUUGACCCCUGCCAUUACCUCCUCCCAAUUCCAGGAUGUCCUCCAUUCCUUCCUCUCCCGGACCCAGGAUCCCUG
RNAcentral lists this long non-coding RNA (2201 nucleotides) under Salmo salar (Atlantic salmon). RNAcentral describes it as "lncRNA (ENSSSAG00000122069.1)". The record is from RNAcentral. Lineage: Eukaryota; Metazoa; Chordata; Actinopteri; Salmoniformes; Salmonidae.